Lycium barbarum (goji berry) is the source of this 799-nucleotide long non-coding RNA. RefSeq lists it as uncharacterized. The transcript is spliced from 3 exons. The record is from RefSeq and is a predicted model, not a curated record. Lineage: Eukaryota; Viridiplantae; Streptophyta; Magnoliopsida; Solanales; Solanaceae.
UUUUGAGACAUAAGUUAUAUAUGAAAUUGUUGGCAUGGAACACUUAGGAAAAAUCGGGACCAAAAUUCAUAUAAUUGGAAUAAAAAAUCUUGCUAAAAAAAAAAAAAGGCCAUUUGGCCAUGUGGCUUUGGAAUGGACCCACACAUUUGGUGGCCAAUUUUAAUUGGUCCACCCCAUGUGUGGGCCAUGGACACUUGGACAAUAUUCAUAUAAGCACAAAAGAUGACCAAGUAGUCAUCUUUUCUACCAUUCCAACAUUUAAAAGAAAAGAGAGCAAGAAGUUGAAGAACAACUUCAACCACACGGCCAAGAACAAGAAAAAAAAAAAACCAAAUCCAAUUCAAGCCAUCCCAAAAUUAUUUCUUUGGUGUAAACCCACUAUUUUGAGGUCCCUAAGUAGCGUGAAAGUGUCGUUGGAGCGAUCAACUCAUUAUUUCUCAUUCUUGGAAACCCUAGGCUAUUGGGAAAUUGAAGAGAAAAGACCUUGGGGAGCCCGAGACGUAGAUUUGGAGUAGCUUUAGAUUGGCUAGCUUGGAAGUGCGUUCGAGGGGCUGCGUUUCAUGCCCGCAGGUACCGACGUACAGUUUGGUGAUCCCCAGUUUAGGAUAUCCCCUUCAGCUGUUGGAGUGCUCUUCUCAUUUCAGAGCAUACACUUUUGGUAUAUAUAUAUUUUGUUCGCUAUGCAUGUAUAUAUUUGUUUCGGGGUACGGCGGGGCCCUGUCCCGCCAUAUGAUUCGUUUGGUCGGUAUAGAGGUCUGUAGACGUAUUUGUGGGUGUGUGUGCCUGCUUCAGUGCAGUU